Molecule: ribosomal RNA, 476 nt
Filed under: uncultured bacterium
Lineage: Bacteria
Description: partial 16S ribosomal RNA
Rfam family: Bacterial small subunit ribosomal RNA
Source: RNAcentral
AUUGAACGCUGGCGGCAUGCCUUACACAUGCAAGUCGAACGGUAACAGGUUAAGCUGACGAGUGGCGAAUGGGUGAGUAAUGUAUCGGAACGUGCCCAGUCGUGGGGGAUAACUGCUCGAAAGAGCAGCUAAUACCGCAUACGACCUGAGGGUGAAAGCGGGGGAUCGCAAGACCUCGCGCGAUUGGAGCGGCCGAUAUCAGAUUAGGUAGUUGGUGAGGUAAAGGCUCACCAAGCCGACGAUCUGUAGCUGGUCUGAGAGGACGACCAGCCACACUGGGACUGAGACACGGCCCAGACUCCUACGGGAGGCAGCAGUGGGGAAUUUUGGACAAUGGGCGCAAGCCUGAUCCAGCCAUGCCGCGUGCGGGAAGAAGGCCUUCGGGUUGUAAACCGCUUUUGUCAGGGAAGAAAAGGUUCUGGCUAAUACCUGGGACUCAUGACGGUACCUGAAGAAUAAGCACCGGCUAACUACGU